Long non-coding RNA from Lycium ferocissimum, 2035 nucleotides. RefSeq lists it as uncharacterized. NCBI's taxonomy places the organism in Eukaryota, Viridiplantae, Streptophyta, Magnoliopsida, Solanales, Solanaceae. The record is from RefSeq and is a predicted model, not a curated record. The transcript has 3 exons.
GUUAAUGAGAAUUAGGACAAAAUUUUUAACAAUUCUCAUCAAAUUCCAAAAAUGAAAAAUAAUAUUGUGAGAAAUAAAGUUUAAAUAUUUUAAUUUAAAGAAAACCAUAUUUAUCCGUAUUUUGCAAGCUUAUACUUUAUCCUUAACAAUAUCACAUUCAUUCAAACUCAAACAUAUCUGUCAAUUUGAGAUGAAAAGUUAUAUUUGAAUUCUACAUGCUAAAUAUUAAAUACAAGUUCACGUAAUUUUUGGUGUUAUAGUAGAUAAAUUCGAAUUAAUUAUAAGUGAUAAGAUUCUAUAAUAUCUCAACAGAUUUACAUUUUGCUUUUAUUUACUGAACUUCCAAUUAUUUUAGAGUUUUGAAAUAUAUAUAGGAUAAUAUCUAGGUAUGGAUUGAGACAAAAUUUGAAAUUUGAAUUUAAAGAUAAAUAUUUAAAAACAGAUAUUAUUAAUAAAAUCUACUAGAUACUCCCACAAAAAUAAUAAAUAAUUUUUAAUAUCUUAAAUGCAAACCUUGUGCUGGAAUAUUAUAUGCUGGAAAUUAUAUCGUUUGUGUAUAUCUAUUCUUUAAAACCAUUUUGAUUGUGGUUAAUUUAAAUUUGAGAGCGUGGAUAGGUUUAAAAAAUACAGUUCAAUUUAUAGAAUCAAAGAUACUACAUAUGUUUUAAAAAUAACUCACAAAAAUACCUAUACAUAAAUAUUACAUAUUACUUAUGUUCUGACGUCUAAUAAGGCAUCUUCACAAGAAUGUCAUCACUUUUAUAUGUAUGAGGAAACUAAAAUUGAAAUGGCAGUUUAAUUAAUAUGUGAAUCCAAUAAAAUAUAUACUCCUAUCAUAUAAAUAUUUAUAAUAAAUAUAUUUAUUUUUGUAACAGAAAGGAAAGAAAGAAGAGAAGAUAGGAGAGAAUAAAAGUAGGGGGAAAAACGUAUGGGAAAAGGUUUUAAAAAAAAAAAAAAGGUAACAGAUGAUAACCAAUUUUAUAUCUUCUUCUAUUUCGUCUAUUUUUGUUAUAGAAAAUUUUGACUUGAUCUCAUCUAUUUCAGAUAUCUUAUCAAACUCAAAUAUAUAGAUUAUAAGAUAAUGGGUAUUUUAGAAUCUUAUCUUUCUGAUGUGAUAUUCAAAUUUGAACUUGAACAAUAUUUGAGUUGGCAUGAACAUCCAACCUUCAUAACCUCUUAUAUAUAUAUACCCCUUCAUUGAGACAUAGAUCAUAUAACUUCUUCACUUUUUAUUGUUAAUCAUUUUCAGAUUUAGAUUUUGUUUAUCUCUAGAAAUUUUUUUGUGAUCAUCUCAUUACACGAAAUCUCUGCAAUGGAUAAAAAGAUUACAGGCCAUGCACAUAAAAUUUCUCUGGAUAAUUGCCAAGGUUCGACUGUAAAGAAAUGAGACGCUAAACCUGUCAAGGUACUCUCGCAUUAAUUUUGAUUCCCAUGUAUUCUUAAUUCAUCAUCUUCUUUGUUUUAUUUAGUUUUUGUUUUUUCAUAUAUCUUAAAUAUUUAAUGUGGAAUUAUGCAUCAAUAUAUCACCUUGCGCACAACAAUUUCAUCAAGUUAAUAUUUUUUUUCGUUGUGCUUCAUGUAUAAUAUCAAGUGCAAGAACUGACGGGCGAGAUCAAGGUAGAUACUUUGUUUUGGCAUUGAUAUACCUUUUUGGUUACAUAAUUAAAUUAUAUGUGCUUGAAAUAUGUUCUUACUAUAAAAUGACUUUACUUAUAAGCAGAAAUAGAAAAAUCAUACGUAGAAAGAUUAACACUAUUGAUUGGUUUUAAUUUGUGUUGAAAUUCAAUAAAAUUAUUAUAUUUUCUCUUUAUAUUAUUUGUUCUGAUCCACAUUUAGGUGUGUUUGGUAUGAAAGACAUGUAGUUGAUGAAUGAAAAAUAUUUUCAUAAAGAAAAACAAUAUAAGUUUAUUAACAACAAAACGGAUAUAAAAAAUAAUGAUUGAAACUUUGAAUAAGUAAAAAAUAUUACAACAUCUAUAUCUAUAUCUAUAUAUAUAAAAUAGGAGAGGUACAAGUAAUGUGGUUAAGCCAAAUG